GCCAGCCAGUCGUGUCUCAGCCUGGAGAGUGCGCGCACCGCCGCCCGGGCAGCCGCUGGCUCCAGCUCACGAAACAGCCCCGGGCGCCGCGCCGCUCCGAGUCCAGCCUCCUACUGAGAACAGUCCCUCCCUCGUGCGGGUCUCACGGCUAGCCGCAGGUUCGGCCACGUCAAAUCCAUUUUCUAAAAAAGCAGGGAGCAGAGCUCUCUCUUCGCCGCCGACGCAGAAAGGAGCUGGGGAGGAAAAAGCUGCUGCCUUUUGCGCUGGAGAUUCGUGGGCAAGGCUUCUCAUUUUCCCAGGCUGCUUCCCCUCCCGGGUGAGGAGCGUCCUGAGACUAAGGAAAGAGCCUGGAAAAUGGAGCAGACCUGGACGAGAGAUUAUUUUGCAGAGGAUGAUGGGGAGAUGGUACCCAGAACGAGUCACACAGCAGAAAUGAAUUUCCAUCUUUUCUGAACAUAAAAAAAAGAAGAAUUCUAAGAAGUUGACUGAAGCAUCUGGGUGCUUUUUCUUGGGCUCCUUCUGCUUUUCUUAGUGACACUAAAGAUCGAGGCCCUCCAGUGCAGUCACAGAUCUGGAGAAGUGGUGAAAAGGUCCCGUUUGUGCAGACAUAUUCCUUGAGAGCAUUUGAGAAACCCCCUCAGGUACAGACCCAGGCUCUUCGAGACUUUGAGAAGCACCUCAAUGACCUGAAGAAGGAGAACUUCAGCCUCAAGCUGCUCAUCUACUUCCUGGAGGAGCGCAUGCAACAGAAGUAUGAGGCCAGCCGGGAGGACAUCUACAAGCGGGGGUGAUGUGGAGAAUCUCAACAGUCAGAAUGAAGCUGAGCUCCGACGCCAGUUUGAGGAGCGACAGCAGGAGACGGAGCAUGUUUAUGAGCUCUUGGAGAAUAAGAUCCAGCUUCUGCAGGAGGAAUCCAGGCUAGCAAAGAAUGAAGCUGCGCGGAUGGCAGCUCUGGUGGAAGCAGAGAAGGAGUGUAACCUGGAGCUCUCAGAGAAACUGAAGGGAGUCACCAAAAACUGGGAAGAUGUACCAGGAGACCAGGUCAAGCCCGACCAAUACACUGAGACCCUGGCCCAGAGGGACAAGAGAAUUGAAGAACUGAAUCAGAGCCUGGCUGCCCAGGAGAGGCUUGUAGAACAGCUAUCUCGGGAGAAACAACAACUGCUACAUCUGUUGGAGGAGCCAACUAGCAUGGAAGUGCAGCCCAUGACUGAAGAGUUGCUGAAACAACAAAAGCUGAAUUCACAUGAGACCACUAUAACUCAGCAGUCUGUAUCUGAUUCCCACUUGGCAGAACUCCAGGAAAAAAUCCAGCAAACAGAGGCCACCAACAAGAUUCUUCAAGAGAAACUUAAUGAAAUGAGCUAUGAACUAAAGUGUGCUCAGGAGUUGUCUCAAAAGCAAGAUGGUACAAUUCAGAACCUCAAGGAAACUCUGAAAAGCAGGGAACGUGAGACUGAGGAGUUGUACCAGGUAAUUGAAGGUCAAAAUGACACAAUGGCAAAGCUUCGAGAAAUGCUGCACCAAAGCCAGCUUGGACAACUUCACAGCUCAGAGGGUACUUCUCCAGCUCAGCAACAGGUAGCUCUGCUUGAUCUUCAGAGUGCUUUAUUCUGCAGCCAACUUGAAAUACAGAAGCUCCAGAGGGUGGUACGACAGAAAGAGCGCCAACUGGCUGAUGCCAAACAAUGUGUGCAAUUUGUAGAGGCUGCAGCACACGAGAGUGAACAGCAGAAAGAGGCUUCUUGGAAACAUAACCAGGAAUUGCGAAAAGCCUUGCAGCAGCUACAAGAAGUAUUGCAGAAUAAGAGCCAACAGCUUCGUGCCUGGGAGGCUGAAAAAUACAAUGAGAUUCGAACCCAGGAACAAAACAUCCAGCACCUAAACCAUAGUCUGAGUCACAAGGAGCAGUUGCUUCAGGAAUUUCGGGAGCUCCUACAGUAUCGAGAUAACUCAGACAAAACCCUUGAAGCAAAUGAAAUGUUGCUUGAGAAACUUCGCCAGCGAAUACGUGAUAAAGCUGUUGCUCUGGAGCGGGCUAUAGAUGAAAAAUUCUCUGCUCUAGAAGAGAAAGAAAAAGAACUGCGCCAGCUUCGUCUUGCUGUGAGAGAGCGAGAUCAUGACCUAGAGAGACUGCGCGAUGUCCUCUCCUCCAAUGAAGCUACUAUGCAAACUAUGGAGAGUCUCCUGAGGGCCAAAGGCCUGGAAGUGGAACAGUUAUCUACUACCUGUCAAAACCUCCAGUGGCUGAAAGAAGAAAUGGAAACCAAAUUUAGCCGUUGGCAGAAGGAACAAGAGAGUAUCAUUCAGCAGUUACAGACGUCUCUUCAUGAUAGGAACAAAGAAGUGGAGGAUCUUAGUGCAACAUUGCUCUGCAAACUUGGACCAGGGCAGAGUGAGAUAGCAGAGGAGCUGUGCCAGCGUCUACAGUGAAAGGAAAGGAUGCUGCAGGACCUUCUAAGUGAUCGAAAUAAACAAGUGCUGGAACAUGAAAUGGAGAUUCAAGGCCUGCUUCAGUCUGUGAGCACCAGGGAGCAGGAAAGCCAAGCUGCUGCAGAGAAGUUGGUGCAAGCCUUAAUGGAAAGAAAUUCAGAAUUACAGGCCCUGCACCAAUAUUUAGGAGGGAGAGACUCCCUGAUGUCCCAAGCACCCAUCUCUAACCAACAAGCUGAAGUUACCCCCACUGGCCGUCUUGGAAAACAGACUGAUCAAGGUUCAAUGCAGAUACCUUCCAGAGAUGAUAGCACUUCAUUGACUGCCAAAGAGGAUGUCAGCAUACCCAGAUCCACAUUAGGAGACUUGGACACAGUUGCAGGGCUGGAAAAAGAACUGAGUAAUGCCAAAGAGGAACUUGAACUCAUGGCUAAAAAAGAAAGAGAAAGUCAGCUUUACCCCUCAAACAUGGGAGAAAAAGUUUCAGCAUUUUAAUUCAAAUUGGUAAAAGGCUGAGCAACCCUUAAAGCUGCCAUAAUGGAAGAAGACUGUGAGCUAGCUUAAAAAAGAGAGAAUGAAGGGGAAGAAACAAAACCCCUGUGUGGCAGAGUGUCGAGAUGAGAUGAGCAUUUAUUUGUCUCCGUCGAAUUCCUUACGGAGAUAAGGUGCAGCUGCAGGGGAUGACACCGAAGAUACAAGCACUGAGUUCACUGACAGUAUUGAGGAGGAGGCUGCACACCAUAGUCACCAGCAACUUGUCAAGGUGGCUUUGGAGAAAAGUCUGGCAACUGUGGAGACCCAGAACCCAUCUUUUUCCCCUCCUUCUCCGAUGGGAGGGGACAGUAACAGGUGUCUUCAGGAAGAAAUGCUCCACCUGAGGGCUGAGAUCCACCAGCACUUAGAAGAGAAGAGGAAAGCUGAGGAGGAACUGAAGGAGCUAAAGGCUCAAAUUGAGGAAGCAGGAUUCUCCUCAGUGUCCCACAUCAGGAACACCAUGCUGAGCCUUUGCCUUGAGAAUGCGGAGCUGAAAGAGCAGAUGGGAGAAACAAUGUCUGAUGGAUGGGAGAUCGAGGAAGACAAGGAGAAGGGCGAGGUGAUGGUUGAGACUGUGGUAACCAAAGAGGGUCUGAGUGAGAGUAGCCUUCAGGCUGAGUUCAGAAAGCUCCAGGGAAAACUGAAGAAUGCCCACAAUAUCAUCAACCUCCUCAAAGAACAACUUGUGCUGAGUAGCAAGGAAGGGAAUAGUAAACUUACUCCAGAGCUCCUUGUGCAUCUGACCAGCACCAUCGAAAGAAUAAACACAGAACUGGUUGGUUCCCCUGGGAAGCACCAACACCAAGAGGAGGGGAAUGUGACUGUGAGGCCUUUCCCCAGACCCCAGAGCCUUGACCUUGGGGCUACCUUCACAGUGGAUGCCCACCAAUUGGAUAACCAGUCCCAGCCUCGUGACCCUGGGCCUCAGUCAGCGUUUAGCCUACCAGGGUCCACCCAGCACCUGCGCUCCCAGCUGUCACAAUGCAAACAACGCUAUCAAGAUCUCCAGGAGAAGCUGCUGCUAUCAGAAGCCACUGUCUUUGCUCAGGCUAACGAGCUGGAGAAAUACAGAGUUAUGCUUACAGGUGAAUCCUUGGUGAAGCAGGACAGCGAGCAGAUCCAGGUGGACCUCCAGGACCUGGGCUAUGAGACUUGUGGCCGAAGCGAGAAUGAGGCUGAACGGGAGGAAACCACCAGUCCUGAGUGUGAGGAGCACAACAGCCUCAAGGAAAUGGUCCUGAUGGAGGGGCUGUGCUCUGAGCAGGGACGCCGGGGCUCAACACUGGCUAGUUCCUCUGAGAGGAAGCCCUUGGAGAACCAGCUAGGGAAGCAGGAAGAGUUCCGGGUAUAUGGAAAGUCAGAAAACAUCUUGGUCCUACGAAAGGACAUCGAAGAUCUGAAGGCCCAGCUGCAGAAUGCCAACAAGAUCAUUCAAAACCUCAAGAGCCGGGUCCGGUCCCUCUCAGUUACAAGUGAUUAUUCGUCUAGUCUGGAAAGACCCCGGAAGCUGAGAGCUGUUGGCACCUUGGAGGGGUCUUCACCUCAUAGUGUCCCUGAUGAGGAUGAGGGGUGGCUGUCUGAUGGCACUGGGGCUUUCUACUCUCCAGGGCUUCAGGCCAAAAAGGACCUGGAGAGUCUCAUCCAGAGAGUAUCCCAGCUGGAGGCCCAGCUCCCAGAAAAUGGACUAGAAGAGAAGCUGGCUGAGGAGCUGAGAUCAGCCUCGUGGCCUGGGAAAUAUGAUUCCCUGAUUCAGGAUCAGGCCCGGGAACUGUCUUACCUACGGCAAAAAAUACGAGAAGGGAGAGGUAUUUGUUAUCUUAUCACCCAGCAUGCAAAAGAUACAGUAAAAUCUUUUGAGGAUCUCCUAAGGAGCAAUGACAUUGACUACUACCUGGGACAGAGCUUCCGGGAGCAACUCGCCCAGGGAAGCCAGCUGACAGAGAGGCUCACCAGCAAACUCAGCACCAAGGAUCAUAAAAGUGAGAAAGAUCAAGCUGGACUUGAGCCACUGGCCCUCAGGCUCAGCAGGGAGCUGCAGGAGAAGGAGAAAGUGAUUGAAGUCCUGCAGGCCAAGCUGGAUGCUCGGUCCCUCACACCCUCCAGCAGCCGUGCCUUGUCUGACUCCCACCGCUCUCCCAGCAGCACCUCUUUCCUGUCUGAUGAGCUGGAAGCCUGCUCUGACAUGGACAUAGUCAGCGAGUACACACACUAUGAAGAGAAGAAAGCUUCUCCCAGUCACUCAGAUUCCAUCCAUCAUUCGAGUCAUUCUGCUGUGUUGUCUUCUAAACCAUCAUCAACCAGUGCAUCUCAGGGGGCUAAGGCCGAAUCCAACAGCAACCCCAUCAGCUUGCCAACUCCCCAGAAUACCCCCAAGGAGGCCAACCAAGCCCAUUCAGGCUUUCAUUUUCACUCCAUACCCAAGCUGGCUAGCCUUCCUCAGGCACCAUUGCCCUCAGCUCCAUCCAGCUUCCUGCCUUUCAGCCCCACUGGCCCUCCCCUCCUUGGCUGCUGUGAGACACCAGAGGUCUCCUUGGCUGAGUCUCAGCAGGAGCUACAGAUGCUGCAGAAGCAGUUGGGAGAAAGUACCAGCACUGUUCCUCCUGCUUCCACAGCUACAUUGCUGAGCAACGACUUGGAAGCCGACUCUUCCUACUACCUCAACUCUGCCCAGCCUCACUCUCCUCCAAGGGGCACCAUAGAACUGGGAAGAAUCCUAGAGCCUGGGUACCUGGGCAGCAGUGGCAAGUGGGAUGUGAUGAGGCCUCAGAAAGGGAGUGUAUCUGGGGACCUAUCCUCAGGCUCCUCUGUGUACCAGCUUAACUCCAAACCCACAGGGGCUGACCUGCUGGAAGAGCAUCUUGGUGAAAUCCGGAACCUGCGCCAGCGCCUGGAGGAGUCCAUCUGCAUCAAUGACUGCCUACGGGAGCAACUGGAACACCGGCUGACCUCUACUGCUCGUGGAAGGGGAUCCACUUCUAACUUCUACAGUCAGGGCCUGGAGUCCAUACCUCAGCUCUGCAAUGAGAACAGAGUCCUCAGGGAAGAAAAUCGAAGACUUCAGGCUCAACUGAGUCAUGUUUCCAGAGAGCACUCCCAGGAAACAGAAAGCCUGAGGGAGGCUCUGCUGUCCUCUCGAUCCCACCUUCAAGAGCUGGAAAAGGAGCUGGAGCACCAGAAGGUGGAAAGGCAGCAGCUUUUGGAAGACUUGAGGGAGAAGCAGCAAGAGGUCUUGCAUUUCAGGGAGGAACGUCUUUCCCUCCAGGAAAACGACUCCAGACUGCAGCACAAGCUGGUUCUCCUGCAGCAACAGUGUGAAGAGAAACAGCAGCUCUUUGAGUCCCUCCAGUCAGAGCUACAAAUCUACGAGGCACUUUAUGGCAAUUCCAAGAAGGGGCUGAAAGCUUACAGCCUGGAUGCCUGUCACCAAAUCCCUUUGAGCAGUGACCUGAGCCACCUGGUGGCAGAGGUACGAGCUCUGAGAGGGCAGCUGGAGCAGAGCAUUCAGGGGAACAAUUGUCUGCGACUGCAGCUGCAACAGCAGCUGGAGAGCGGUGCUGGCAAAGCCAGCCUCAGCCCCUCCUCCAUUAACCAGAACUUCCCAGCCAGCACUGACCCUGGAAACAAGCAGCUGCUCCUCCAAGAUUCAGCUGUGUCCCCUCCAGUCCGGGAUGUUGGUAUGAAUUCCCCAGCUCUGGUCUUCCCCAGCUCUGCUUCCUCUACUCCUGGCUCAGAAACGCCCAUAAUCAACAGAGCAAAUGGCUUGGGUUUGGAUACUUCUCCAGUAAUGAAGACCCCUCCCAAGCUAGAGGGUGAUGCUACUGAUGGCUCCUUUGCCAAUAAGCAUGGCCGCCAUGUCAUUGGCCACAUUGAUGACUACAGUGCCCUAAGACAGCAGAUUGCGGAGGGCAAGCUGCUGGUCAAAAAGAUAGUGUCUCUUGUGAGAUCAGCGUGCAGCUUCCCUGGCCUUGAAGCCCAAGGCACAGAGGUGCUAGGCAGCAAAGGCAUUCAUGAGCUUCGGAGCAGCACCAGUGCCCUGCACCAUGCCCUAGAGGAGUCGGCUUCCCUCCUCACCAUGUUCUGGAGAGCGGCCCUGCCAAGCACCCACAUCCCUGUGCUGCCUGGCAAAGUGGGAGAAUCAACAGAAAGGGAACUUCUGGAACUGAGAACCAAAGUAUCCAAACAGGAGCAGCUCCUUCAGAGCACAACUGAGCAUCUGAAGAAUGCCAACCAGCAGAAGGAGAGCAUGGAACAGUUCAUUGUCAGCCAGCGUAGGUUCCCUGAGAGGGAACGGGGGCAGAAACAGGCAGUCUUCCCGAUGCCCCACUUGUGCUUCAGAUGAGAAGUGAUCAGGGGGGCUUGGGGAUGUUGGGAGUGGAGACUGAUUUGAUGUCCCCAAACCUCCUGUGCCAGGAGCAAUUGUGGCUGCAGAGGGAGGGGAGGACAGGGGGUGGAUAGAAGGAGACUCCAAGCUGAAUAGCCAGAAAGAAAUAAAUGCUUUAGAAUUCUCACGCUAAGCAAGUAGGGUUAAUUUCUGCUGGUGGUUUCUACUCUGUGGUGCUCUUUUGUUGUUUCAGUAACCAGAACACAUGAUGUUUUAAAGAAGGCAAGGACUAACUUAGAGGUGAAAUCCCUAAGGGCUCUGCCGUGUACUCCAGCCUUGUGACCCUUGCCUUCCAGGAACCAUGCAAGAAGCGCAGCCACCAGAAGUCCUUAAAACAGCAGGAAAGGAUUUCCUUUUUAUCACUGGUUUUGAUGGAUUUGAUUAAGGCGUUCCUUGGUGAAGUUUUCUUCAUGUUUCUUGUUCUUAGAAUAAUCAUAUUUCUGUAAUAUUUGAAGUUUAUGGUUUCCAUGGAGCUUCUAAAUCUUUCAUCCAGUAUGUUUUAAAUAUCUUUGUCUCUCUUCUCCACUACACGCCCUUCAGGGAUUCCAUUUAGCCCUAUACUGGGGGGUUUAAAGUUUUGAUGCCAAUGGUCUUUUUAUGUUUUCAAGUCAUUUGUUACUGUGUGUUUCAUUUAUGUUAGUUUCAACUUCUAUUCCUUCUAGUUCAAUAAUCUUCUCUUCUGCAAUGUUUAAUCCACUGCCUUCUUCCAUUUCAGACUGUAAAUCAUACUUUUUAUCUACAGAAUUUGAUAUUUAAAAAAUCUUCAACCUCCCCAUUUAAUUAAAAUACAAUUAUACUAACUGCUCUAAUGUCCUUUUCUUCUAUGUCCAACAUGUCUGUCAAUUUCAACUAGAUUAUUAGAUUCUUCAUUAUGUGUCAUGUUUUCCUGCUUCUUUGGCUGCUUCAUAUUCUUUUAUUUUUUUUUUUUUUGCGGGGGGAUAGAGUUUUGCUCUCAUUGCCCAGGCUGGAGUGCAAUGGUGUGAUCUCAGCUCACUGCAACCUCCACCUCCCAGGUACACAAGCGAUUCUCCUGUCUCAGCCUCCCAAGUAGCUCAGAUUACAGGCAUGCACAAUCAUGCCUGGCUAAUUUUUUUGUAUUUAGUAGAUAUGGGGUUUCACCAUGUUAGUCAGGCUGGUCGUGAACUCCUGACCUCAGGUGAUCCAUCUGGCUGCUUGAUAUUCUAAGAUUUGAUGCUGGAACUUUGGUGUCAAUGCUCAAAAUGCCCAAAGACACCACUCAACCUCAGUGUCUAUGCACACCCAAGCUUUUGCAGCAGGACAGGUAGAGCAGAGAUGAGUGUGCUACAACAUGCUGGUAGAGGGUACCCCCAAUUGUGCUUGGGGAUUUCCUAUUCCUCAUGGAAAAAUGUGUCUUCCUUAAUUUUUCCCAUAAGAACCACCCUACUUCAUGCCCUGUCUCUCUGUCCAAACACCAGGACAGUCCUCUCACCAGUCUCAACCACCCAAUGGAUUGACAAAGGUGCAAAUAUGAUUCAGUGGAGAAGGCAUUCUCUUGUCAACAAAUUGUGUAGAAACAACUUUUUUUUACACAAUUUUUUUUUUAUCCCCAAAGGAAAAAAAUUCACCUGAACCUCAAUACUAACUCAAAAACUAACUCAAAAUGGAUUAUGCAACUAAAUAUAAACUAUAAAACUAGAAAAAGUAUAGCAGAAAAUAUAAGACAAAAUCUUCAUGACACAGAGUUAGGUAAAGUGUUCUUUAUUAUCAAUAAACACAAACCAUUAAAGAAAA
This is an RNA transcript of Homo sapiens (human), 9100 nucleotides long. It is a transcript of the gene named PDE4DIP pseudogene 2, with no coding region annotated. The transcript is spliced from 44 exons. The record is from RefSeq and is marked validated. Lineage: Eukaryota; Metazoa; Chordata; Mammalia; Primates; Hominidae.